Molecule: ribosomal RNA, 216 nt
Filed under: Glomeromycotina sp.
Lineage: Eukaryota; Fungi; Glomeromycota
Description: partial small subunit ribosomal RNA
Rfam family: Eukaryotic small subunit ribosomal RNA (bases 40-216)
Source: RNAcentral
GGGUCAGUAGGUUGGUCGUGCCACCGGUACGUACUGGUCUCACUGAUUCCUCCUUCCUGAAGGACCGUAAUGCCAUUAAUUUGGUGUUGCGGGGAAGCAGGACUGUUACUUUGAGAAAAUUAGAGUGUUUAAAGCAAGCUAACGCUUGAAUACAUUAGCAUGGAAUAAUGAAAUAGGACGAUCGAUCCUAUUUUGCUGGUUUCUAGGAUUGACGUA